AUUGAACGCUGGCGGCAGGCCUAACACAUGCAAGUCGAACGGUAACAGGAAGCAGCUUGCUGCUUCGCUGACGAGUGGCGGACGGGUGAGUAAUGUCUGGGAAGCUGCCUGAUGGAGGGGGAUAACUACUGGAAACGGUAGCUAAUACCGCAUAAUGUCGCAAGACCAAAGAGGGGGACCUUCGGGCCUCUUGCCAUCGGAUGUGCCCAGAUGGGAUUAGCUUGUUGGUGGGGUAACGGCUCACCAAGGCGACGAUCCCUAGCUGGUCUGAGAGGAUGACCAGCCACACUGGAACUGAGACACGGUCCAGACUCCUACGGGAGGCAGCAGUGGGGAAUAUUGCACAAUGGGCGCAAGCCUGAUGCAGACAUGCCGCGUGUAUGAAGAAGGCCUUCGGGUUGUAAAGUACUUUCAGCGGGGAGGAAGGGAGUAAAGUUAAUACCUUUGCUCAUUGACGUUACCCGCAGAAGAAGCACCGGCUAACUCCGUG
Molecule: ribosomal RNA, 490 nt
Filed under: uncultured bacterium
Lineage: Bacteria
Description: partial 16S ribosomal RNA
Rfam family: Bacterial small subunit ribosomal RNA
Source: RNAcentral